UCGCUACAAUUAUUGUAAAUAUUAUAAUUGUUAUUAUUGUUCUUAGUUUCUUGUUAAAUGUUUUCGUUUAGAUUUACGGUUAAAAUAAAUUAAAUAGAUUAAAGUUGAACAAAUUUCUAGAAUUAAAAAAAGAUAAACCAGCCUAAUGAGAAAAACGGAGAUUCACCGCGGUAUAGUUCAUUGUGUUCAUUUUCUGCAUUCCCCUCAAUAAAAUGGUUAAUGAGAUCUAAGCCAGGUGGUGAGAUACCGUGGAAUCAAAUUGCGUAAGCCACCCAAGAUUGCUUGAUCCCGCAAAAUUUGCAUAUGAGCUUCGGCGUGCAUCGACCUGUUGGGAUUCCUUUGAAGUUUUGUUGACCUUUUCCGAAGUCCCUCUCACAUGGACAGAAAGGUGGCUAUCUUAGGCUGUUCGUGUGAAGAGACGCGAACAUGCGCGAAAAUGAUUGUCAUGAGCAUGAGAGCAACCGUCGGUGUCGCGAAUUUACGUUCGUGAUUUCCUGUGACGAAAUUAAUUCGACGGUUAAUCUGAGGAUUAUUGAAGUGAUCAGAUUCACUUCGAACUGAUCCGUGGAAGAGGCAGGAGUGGCCCAAGUUGUUCUCGCGCCGUGGUAGUUACUUAAAGUUCUUAGAUAGUUAUCGUAGCUAGUCGUGUGUGCGAAGUUUAUAUUGGUGUGUUAUCGUGUGUGCUGGUGGUUUUUAAAAGAUUCGCGCCCACGCCGCUACGACGCCCAAGACACCACAACGAACCGUCGAGGCCAUUUCUGACCCCACCAUCAGGCUGCGAGGUUUUCCCGGGGCACGCCGGAAGAGGGACGCGAUCGCCAAUCAACGCGCGCCCUAGGCAGGGCAUCACAGAAGGAAGAAGAAGUAAGGCAACCGUUUUUCCCUCCGUUGGUGACGACCGACGGACAUCGACGCACGUGCCGCGUCGCGCCAAACCAUCGAUGAGACCGUAAGUUUCGAAGCCAUCCGUAGGCAACAACCGCAGUCGCAGCAUCAUCAGCUAGCCCGCUAGCUCCACCGCCGACCCGCCGGCAAACCGCGAUGUAAAGU
Molecule: long non-coding RNA, 1050 nt
Organism: Armigeres subalbatus
Lineage: Eukaryota; Metazoa; Arthropoda; Insecta; Diptera; Culicidae
Exons: 3
Source: RefSeq, a predicted model, not a curated record